UUGGAGGGCAAGUCUGGUGCCAGCAGCCGCGGUAAUUCCAGCUCCAAUAGCGUAUAUUAAAGUUGUUGCAGUUAAAAAGCUCGUAGUUGAAUUUCGGGAUUAGUACGUCGGUCGUGCUUUAGGUACGUACUGGUGUUACUGGUUCCUACCUUCUGACGAACCAUCAUGUCAUUAAUUUGGUGUGGUGGGGAAUCAGGACUGUUACUUUGAAAAAAUUAGAGUGUUUAAAGCAGGCUCGCGCUUGAAUACAUUAGCAUGGAAUAAUGAAAUAGGACGUUGAUCCUAUUUUGUUGGUUUCUAGGAUUGACGUAAUAAUUAAUAGGGAUAGUUGGGGGCAUUAGUAUUCAAUUGUCAGAGGUGAAAUUCUUGGAUUUAUUGAAGACUAACUACUGCGAAAGCAUUUGCCAAGGAUGUUUUCAUUAAUCAAGAACGAAAGUUAGGGGAUCGAAGACGAUCAGAUACCGUCGUAGUCUUAACCAUAAACUAUGCCGACUAGGGAUCGGAUGAUGUUAUUUUUAAUGACUCAUUCGGCACCUUACGGGAAAC
RNAcentral lists this ribosomal RNA (546 nucleotides) under uncultured Glomus. RNAcentral describes it as "SSU rRNA". It matches the Rfam family "Eukaryotic small subunit ribosomal RNA", at positions 548 to 1098 of the family's 1831-position model. Lineage: Eukaryota; Fungi; Glomeromycota; Glomeromycetes; Glomerales; Glomeraceae. The record is from RNAcentral.